Pelobates cultripes (western spadefoot toad) is the source of this 299-nucleotide non-coding RNA. Lineage: Eukaryota; Metazoa; Chordata; Amphibia; Anura; Pelobatidae. The record is from the annotation of a GenBank genome assembly.
CUCCAUAUAAGAGAGGGUAACAUUCCACACCAAUAAUAUCAACAGUGCGCGCGGAUCAUGAUAUUCCAUUUGUGAGCUUGGACACCACGCCAAUAUUAUGUAACAAAAGCACCAUCCCAAAUACUUAUGCACAUUUAAAUAUCUGGAGUUUUUUAGUAUCACUCCAAUGGCCAUUAAAGUGCAAGCUGCCAUGCCCUGUCCAGGCAAGGCCUACUUUAAAAAUUCACCUUGCUACUUUCAACUAAAACCCAAAUUCUCUAAUGUGACAGUGUUAUUUUUCCAUACCCCCACUUAGUGAG